AUGCGGUGGGAAGAAGUGGCAUUUAGAAGUGUUGCUGACUUUACAUUUAGGUUUCGGCAUAACAAAGCUUGCACUGUCUUUUCGCACUUAGGCGCACAGCGUGCCGUUGGUAAUGAUUCUACUACGGUGCUGCAAAUUCGCAAGCUGAUCCUAAGUAAUCGUUGUUGUUCAUUGGAUUCCUCCGGAAUUACUUCGUUAGGAUUGAAGAAUUGCUGCAAUGCUUCCUGA
This 228-nucleotide ribosomal RNA is filed under the name Triticum aestivum (bread wheat). RNAcentral's name for it is "partial small subunit ribosomal RNA". Lineage: Eukaryota; Viridiplantae; Streptophyta; Magnoliopsida; Poales; Poaceae. The record is from RNAcentral.